This is a small nuclear RNA of Microtus ochrogaster (prairie vole), 187 nucleotides long. Its record names the gene U2. It matches the Rfam family "U2 spliceosomal RNA". Rfam says of the family: U2 is a small nuclear RNA (snRNA) component of the spliceosome (involved in pre-mRNA splicing). Complementary binding between U2 snRNA (in an area lying towards the 5' end but 3' to hairpin I) and the branchpoint sequence (BPS) of the intron results the bulging out of an unpaired adenosine, on the BPS, which initiates a nucleophilic attack at the intronic 5' splice site, thus starting the first of two transesterification reactions that mediate splicing. Lineage: Eukaryota; Metazoa; Chordata; Mammalia; Rodentia; Cricetidae. The record is from Ensembl.
UUUGCUUCCGAGCCUUUUGGAUAAGCCAGUGCAGUGUCUGCUCUUACCGGGCUAAUAUCUGAUACGUCCUCUAUGCAAGAACGAUAUAUUAAACGGGUUUUGGAGCCAGGAGAUGGAGUAGCAGCUUACUGUGUCCGCUCCACACACUGACAUGGUGUUACCACACUCCAGGAAUGCUGCACCCCCU